RNAcentral lists this ribosomal RNA (252 nucleotides) under uncultured bacterium. RNAcentral's name for it is "partial 16S ribosomal RNA". It matches the Rfam family "Bacterial small subunit ribosomal RNA", at positions 524 to 776 of the family's 1533-position model. The record is from RNAcentral.
UACGGAGGAUGCGAGCGUUAUCCGGAUUUAUUGGGUUUAAAGGGUGCGUAGGCGGUCCGGAAAGUCAGCGGUAAAAGCCCGGGGCUCAACCCCGGCGAGCUGUUGAAACUGUCGGACUAGAGACGGCGAGAAGUACGCGGAAUGCGCGGUGUAGCGGUGAAAUGCAUAGAUAUCGCGCAGAACUCCGAUUGCGAAGGCAGCGUACCGGCGCCGGACUGACGCUGAGGCACGAAAGCGUGGGUAUCGAACAGG